RNAcentral lists this long non-coding RNA (629 nucleotides) under Vulpes vulpes (red fox). RNAcentral's name for it is "lncRNA (ENSVVUG00000001297.1)". Lineage: Eukaryota; Metazoa; Chordata; Mammalia; Carnivora; Canidae. The record is from RNAcentral.
AGGAGAGGGACAACCAGACUCUGCUGAGCAUGGAGUCCACCGUGAGGCUCAAUCCCACAACACUGAGAUCCUGACCUGAGCUGAAAUCAUGAGUCAGAUGGUUAACUGACUGAGCUACCCAGGCACCCUUAAUUGGUAGAUGUCUCUUAAAUACUAGGGGUGGGGAGAAGCACACAUCUUCAGAAUUCUCAUGACUGCCACUUUUACAUCCUCACUCAGUGGACACAAGAAGAAAGAUAAAUGGGAAAAAAGAAGUCAGUCGACAAAAAGCUGCAGUACCAACGACGAGCAACCAGAAACAGUAAGGAAGCAAGUGUCUUCCUACAUCACCGGACCAGAUGGUAUCCCAUCCUUCCUCUACUGAUCUGUAGAGCCAAGCCAAUAAAGAAAUGGAGGAGAAAGACUCACACCCAUGCCAACAAAGAAGCCCAUUCUCAGACCAGGGAUCCAACCUUAUUAACCCUACUAGGAAUGAACAAAAGCACAACUGGAAGGCAACCAGUUUUAUGCCUUUAAUUUUUCUCCACCGUCUUGCUUUCCAUUUCAGAAAUUCAAGGUAUUGGAUGACCUACUGGAGGCAGAAGACAGUUCCAUUUAAGUUGACAAAAUCACAUGAGAGUGAGUGGCGG